Molecule: long non-coding RNA, 302 nt
Organism: Nasonia vitripennis (jewel wasp)
Lineage: Eukaryota; Metazoa; Arthropoda; Insecta; Hymenoptera; Pteromalidae
Exons: 3
Source: RefSeq, a predicted model, not a curated record
AAGAGCAGCGUACGAUAACAAUCUCUGUAUAAGCUCGACACGAUGUGAGAUUAUGGCCUGAAAAAAGUACCUACUGUAACGAGCGUCGGCUACAAAAUGUUACACCUGCGACUCGAGCAGAGAUGGACUGUGUUGGACAAAGCCCACACGUACUUACGUCGUCGAAUGCAAGUCAAGGCCGUCAAAGGGGCACUCGACAGUGAACUCUACCCUGCUAGCGGCCGUCGCAGAGCGAAUCGGAUCGCGACACGAUGUGGCCCUCGAAUCUUCCGACGACUGCGAUUGCAUAUCGAUAUUUGGAA